This 236-nucleotide ribosomal RNA is filed under the name uncultured bacterium. Its description in RNAcentral is "partial 16S ribosomal RNA". It matches the Rfam family "Bacterial small subunit ribosomal RNA", at positions 95 to 334 of the family's 1533-position model. The record is from RNAcentral.
UUGGCGCACGGGUGAGUAAUAUAUAGCUAACUUGCCCAUUACUAAGGGACAACAGUUGGAAACGACUGCUAAUACCUUAUACUCCGUAUCUAUAUAAGUAGGUACGGGAAAGUUUUUCGGUAAUGGAUAGGGCUAUAUCGUAUCAGCUAGUUGGUAAGGUAACGGCUUACCAAGGCUAUGACGCGUAACUGGUCUGAGAGGAUGAUCAGUCACACUGGAACUGAGACACGGUCCAG